Long non-coding RNA from Lolium rigidum, 245 nucleotides. RefSeq lists it as uncharacterized. Lineage: Eukaryota; Viridiplantae; Streptophyta; Magnoliopsida; Poales; Poaceae. The record is from RefSeq and is a predicted model, not a curated record. The transcript has 3 exons.
AGAGGACAGCGAGGACUUGGAGCAUGAAGAGGAACUAAAGUGUAGAAGGAAAUUGAUUCCAUCAUGGUCUCGCCAAGAAAACUUGGAUAAAAUCUUGCUAUCCAAUCAGUCUAUGGACCCAUCAGAAAUUUUCGCACGCAAUGGUUGUUUCAGUUUAUCUGAUGUUCUUGCACUCCAUGUUCCUCAACGACUAUUCAAUUAGUUGGCUGUUUGAGAAGCUGAGAAAGUACUGAAGCUAACCUAUU